This 237-nucleotide ribosomal RNA is filed under the name Proteus mirabilis. Its description in RNAcentral is "partial 23S ribosomal RNA". It matches the Rfam family "Bacterial large subunit ribosomal RNA", at positions 419 to 656 of the family's 2925-position model. Lineage: Bacteria; Pseudomonadati; Pseudomonadota; Gammaproteobacteria; Enterobacterales; Morganellaceae. The record is from RNAcentral.
GGGACACGUUUUAUCCUGUCUGAAUAUGGGGGGACCAUCCUCCAAGGCUAAAUACUCAUGAAUGACCGAUAGUGAACCAGUACCGUGAGGGAAAGGCGAAAAGAACCCCGGCGAGGGGAGUGAAAAAGAACCUGAAAACGUGUACGUACAAGCAGUAGGAGCCUCUUAAUGGGGUGACUGCGUAACUUUUGUAUAAUGUGUAAGCGACUUAUAUUCUGUAGCAAGGUUAACCGUAUA